This 135-nucleotide non-coding RNA is filed under the name Bellilinea caldifistulae. RNAcentral's name for it is "FMN sequence". It matches the Rfam family "FMN riboswitch aptamer (RFN element)". From Rfam's summary of the family: The RFN element is a highly conserved domain that is found frequently in the 5'-untranslated regions of prokaryotic mRNAs that encode for flavin mononucleotide (FMN) biosynthesis and transport proteins. This element is a metabolite-dependent riboswitch that directly binds FMN in the absence of proteins. In Bacillus subtilis, the riboswitch most likely controls gene expression by causing premature transcription termination within the 5' untranslated region of the ribDEAHT operon and precluding access to the ribosome-binding site of ypaA mRNA. The record is from Rfam by way of RNAcentral. Lineage: Bacteria; Bacillati; Chloroflexota; Anaerolineae; Anaerolineales; Anaerolineaceae.
AAAAGCCUUCGGGGCAGGGUGAGGAAGCAGCGCUUCCAAUUCCCGAUCGGUGGUCAAAACCCACGAGCGCAUUUCCGCGCACGACCCGGUGAAAUUCCGGGGUCGACGGUACAGUCCGGAUGAAAGAAGGCCAAA